AACACUGUUAACCUGCGGUACCUGCGGAAGGAUCAUUGCUGGAACGCGCUUCGGCGCACCCAGAAACCCUUUGUGAACUUAUACCUAUUUGUUGCCUCGGCGUAGGCCGGCCUCUUCACUGAGGCCCCCUGGAAACAGGGAGCAGCCCGCCGGCGGCCAACUAAACUCUUGUUUCUGUAGUGAAUCUCUGAGUAAAAACAUAAAUGAAUCAAAACUUUCAGCAACGGAUCUCAGAUCGGA
Molecule: unclassified non-coding RNA, 240 nt
Filed under: soil metagenome
Description: partial contains 5.8S ribosomal RNA, internal transcribed spacer 2, and large subunit ribosomal RNA
Source: RNAcentral